RNAcentral lists this ribosomal RNA (682 nucleotides) under Salmonella enterica. RNAcentral's name for it is "partial 23S ribosomal RNA". It matches the Rfam family "Bacterial large subunit ribosomal RNA", at positions 1075 to 1756 of the family's 2925-position model. The record is from RNAcentral. Lineage: Bacteria; Pseudomonadati; Pseudomonadota; Gammaproteobacteria; Enterobacterales; Enterobacteriaceae.
GUGGGAAGGCCCAGACAGCCAGGAUGUUGGCUUAGAAGCAGCCAUCAUUUAAAGAAAGCGUAAUAGCUCACUGGUCGAGUCGGCCUGCGCGGAAGAUGUAACGGGGCUAAACCAUGCACCGAAGCUGCGGCAGCGACGCUGAUGCGUUGUUGGGUAGGGGAGCGUUCUGUAAGCCUGCGAAGGUGGCCUGUGAGGGUUGCUGGAGGUAUCAGAAGUGCGAAUGCUGACAUAAGUAACGAUAAAGCGGGUGAAAAGCCCGCUCGCCGGAAGACCAAGGGUUCCUGUCCAACGUUAAUCGGGGCAGGGUGAGUCGACCCCUAAGGCGAGGCCGAAAGGCGUAGUCGAUGGGAAACGGGUUAAUAUUCCCGUACUUGGUGUUACUGCGAAGGGGGGACGGAGAAGGCUAUGUUGGCCGGGCGACGGUUGUCCCGGUUUAAGCGUGUAGGUGUGUGUUCCAGGUAAAUCCGGUUCACUUUAACACUGAGGCGUGAUGACGAGGCACUACGGUGCUGAAGCAACAAAUGCCCUGCUUCCAGGAAAAGCCUCUAAGCAUCAGGUAACAUCAAAUCGUACCCCAAACCGACACAGGUGGUCAGGUAGAGAAUACCAAGGCGCUUGAGAGAACUCGGGUGAAGGAACUAGGCAAAAUGGUGCCGUAACUUCGGGAGAAGGCACGCUGACA